GCCUCCUUUUGUACCACAUCAGACUACUGUUUCUCCUUCUUUCUUUAGACUCUCCAGCUUAAGCUUUCCGUUUCCUACCUUGCCAUUAUAAGUUACAACACAGACAAUGAAUUAGUGUAACACUAUAACGUUUCUCUCUAGGAUGUAUAUAGCUACCCAUGUCCUUCCUUCCACCAUCAAUGGCAAUCUCCUUCUCCCAAGUCCCAACUGUGCUUCAAAUCCAAAUAUACAUGUAUGCUUCGCUACUUCCUACCUUCCCAAAGCUCAAGGUGAAGGAGAUUCCCUUUCGAUGUAGCUUUAAUGAACCAAACACACAUCUAAGAUUUGGUGGGUAAAGUUUCAAUAUCGUUUAUCUUCAAUUAAUGAGGAAUUCUCAGUAAGCACGACUACAUGAGUCAUCAGCUCACGUUGACUACGUCCAUGCCCUUUGUAGACACUGCUCAUCACUCUUAUCCAUUGAAUAGUUUGGUGAAGUUUUUGGAUCGUGGCCAUGUGGGUGUUUAGUUGGUAUAUCUUGUGUAGUCUAGCUCCCUAUCCAAAUUUUUGUGCUCUCAAAAUAAACUAAAUGCUAUUGUUAUUUGAGAGAGGUAGAUUGUCUAAUGUAUGCUUA
Quercus robur (English oak) is the source of this 610-nucleotide long non-coding RNA. RefSeq lists it as uncharacterized. The transcript has 3 exons. The record is from RefSeq and is a predicted model, not a curated record. NCBI's taxonomy places the organism in Eukaryota, Viridiplantae, Streptophyta, Magnoliopsida, Fagales, Fagaceae.